GAAAUUGCACCAAAUCAGUGUGGAUGUUUAUUCAGACCACAGUACUACUAACCUGCGUCAUGAGUUUAACGAGCAGCGCCACCUUGUGUGAAGUGCGCUGUGAGACAGAAGACGUGGCAUCUUUGAAAGACUACUGGAGAAGUAAACACAGCUCAGAUACAUUUACUGGUUUUGUCCAGUCACUGUUGAAAUCUCUUCAGGCGUUUCCGUCCCUGUCAGGACUUUACGAGAAUGUCUUAUAUGUAAUAAGGACCUAUGACGAUUGCAUGACCACGUGUGAAAUUCCACAUAGUAAAAAACGCGGACGUUUACAGCAUUUACCGUCUCAGGAUGCUUUCUUCAGAAUUUUUGAAUUAAAAUCUCGUUCGAUUGGGAGGAGAUGACGUCACUGGAGUCCCAUUCUCUAAGGGAAUUUUUGGGCUCUCCCAGAGAAUGUUAAUAAAAAUCAGACGAAGCAGUAGCUGACCCAGAUAUUCAGUAACACAAGUUUUGAUUGGACAAGUUGGAAAUCCACCGCUUUCUAUAAAAGAUUCACUGGCGUUUUUUCAUCAAUUGACAAUUUAUCCAAGAUACCAUCACCAUAGAAACGUGAACAGUCAGUUUAUGAUGUGCCUGUAAACAGAGAAAUUGAAGGCACAGCGAUUGUAGUUUCAGUAGAGAAAAACCAUGAAUAUACCGCGUCAAGAAUGAUUUUUCAUUUAAAACAUAAAACUGAGAGAGGGCUCUUUGACACAAUCGCCUGUAUCAGAAAUAGGAAGACAACUUUGGAGGAUGAUAAAUAGGCCUUUUUGGUUUGGAAAACACAUCCACAAAUAACGUCACAUAAAGGUGUAACCACGUAGACCCCAAGAACGGCCGAGUAGACGGGGCUCUCACUUCCGUUACAAAGAAUAGCAAAAGAAAGCCAUUUCUCACAUAGCUGACGUCAUUUCCUGGAUGUCUUUUCAAAACCAAAAAUGUUGAUUUAAUUCAAACACUGACGUUUCAUUUUUUUCUGAUUGUUCAAAUUUUAUGGCAUCGUUAUAAGGUAUGAAGGAAACUUAAAAAUUGAAUGCGAAAUUUUUACUGUUUAUGUUAAUUGAAUGAUACUAAACAUGACAUUUAGCUUGUUUUUCUUAUACAUUGGUCAUGUGCAAUUGUUUCUCAUUUUCUUAGACAACAUGCCUUAUUUUAC
Molecule: long non-coding RNA, 1174 nt
Organism: Lingula anatina
Lineage: Eukaryota; Metazoa; Brachiopoda; Lingulata; Lingulida; Lingulidae
Source: RefSeq, a predicted model, not a curated record